Non-coding RNA from Nicotiana tabacum (common tobacco), 1244 nucleotides. Lineage: Eukaryota; Viridiplantae; Streptophyta; Magnoliopsida; Solanales; Solanaceae. The record is from RefSeq and is a predicted model, not a curated record.
GUUCCUAAACCCACAUCGAAACAAUAGCCCGGUGAAGCACCCACCUCCGGCAAGGCCACACCUCCGGCUAGACCCAACUAGAAUCUUCAUUUAUUUUUCAGCUAGGCAUGGAUUAUGAAGAUCCAACAAAGAAGAGCAACUUUGUGGUAAUGUUCUUAUGGAUGUUGUAUUGACAGCACUAUGAUGUUCUCAUUCUUGCCUGUGCCAUUUCUAUCAUGGCCCGUGGAUUUCCCUUGGCAUGAGAUGAUAGGUUUGUGCAUUUAUGCACUUGCUUUAUGUUGUUAUCAUAAUAGAGAGUGGCUUUCAAGAAUCACGACCAUUAGAAAAAAUGACAGCAUCAGGGGCUUGUGGUUUUUCUGUCCACUUAUGGUGCUUUUUAUAUUGUUCUGUGCAUUUCUUGGUUUAUAACUUUUUGUUAUUCCAGAAAAAGCCUAUCUCAUAACAUUGGUUCUACAAUAAAAUUUUGAUGUAGAUUUUAUUCUUGCGCUGCAGGAUAUGAUACAUUGUGACCUUACUAUAUGAAAUUAUUAUUUCUAUCUGUUAGUUCGUCUACCUUUUACUGGAUUAUAAAUAUACAUAAAAUCAAAUUUUAAGUUGCAUGUUCUCAAUUUACAAUUUAUAAUCAGCUUCUCAUGUUGUCAUGCUAUUUGUGUGUUCUCUUUGGAUUUUGAUGGAUACUUCUAUUUUUCGAUAGCAGCUUAUGUUAUUUUCUGCUGCAUCAUUCACAGCACACGUGAAUGAUCAGCUUAUGUUAUAAUCAGCUUUUCAUGUGGUCAUAUAUGUAGCGCCUAGCGUCAAGUGUUCUGAAGCUUUUCGAAGCUCACCAAGCUAUGAAUCACUUGAAGUUGAACCAAAUUUUGCCCACGGUUGAAGAAAGAAAGGUAAGAGACUAAGAGAAAAAGUGGAAGUGUACAUUAUUUGACUUCUGCUCACUCUUCACCAGUUAAAUGUGAGUUCUAAUAGCUAGUACUGAAUACCUUAACCAAAUGUUGCUGCUCGGCACUUAGACAAGUGGAGUUGCAGGAUUCACUUAGCUUUCAAAUUGGGAGUAUGAUUGCUUUGGCACUGGCCAUAGUUCGACUACCAUCUUAGCAGCACCAGUAUCUUUUGUAGGUGGAGCAAAUGAACAAAAGGUAGACAUAAACGGUGAAGACCUUACUUAGAGUGCUGGUUGAUUAUUGUUGAAACUUCAUAUGUUCUGGAAAUCAUUCGAACAUUUUGCAAUCUUAUGUAUAUUAAUUUUG